GACGAACGCUGGCGGCGUGCUUAACACAUGCAAGUCGUACGGUAAGGCCCUUUCGGGGGUACACGAGUUGCGAACGGGUGAGUAACACGUGAGUAACCUGCCCACAACUUUGGGAUAACGCUAGGAAACUGGUGCUAAUACUGGGUAUGUGCUCCUGCUGCAUGGUGGGGGUUGGAAAGCUCCGGCGGUUGUGGAUGGACUCGCGGCCUUUCAGCUUGUUGGUGGGGUAGUGGCCUACCAAGGCGGCGACGGGUAGCCGGCCUUGGAGGGUGACCGGCCACAUUGGGACUGAGAUACGGCCCAGACUCCUACGGGAGGCAGAAGUGGGGAAUAUUGCACAAUGGGCGCAAGCCUGAUGCAGCAACGCCGCGUGCGGGAUGACGGCCUUCGGGUUGUAAACCGCUUUCAGCAGGGACGAAGCUGUUUGUGACGGUACCGGCAGAAGAAGCACCGGCUAACUACGUG
This 465-nucleotide ribosomal RNA is filed under the name uncultured bacterium. Its description in RNAcentral is "partial 16S ribosomal RNA". It matches the Rfam family "Bacterial small subunit ribosomal RNA", at positions 28 to 507 of the family's 1533-position model. The record is from RNAcentral.